Molecule: ribosomal RNA, 779 nt
Filed under: Brazilian Huanglongbing disease-associated phytoplasma
Lineage: Bacteria; Bacillati; Mycoplasmatota; Mollicutes; Acholeplasmatales; Acholeplasmataceae
Description: bacterial SSU rRNA
Rfam family: Bacterial small subunit ribosomal RNA
Source: RNAcentral
CAGCCACAUUGGGACUGAGACACGGCCCAAACUCCUACGGGAGGCAGCAGUAAGGAAUUUUUGGCAAUGGAGGAAACUCUGACCGAGCGACGCCGCGUGAACAAUGAAGUACUUCGGUAUGUAAAGUUCUUUUAUUGAAAAAGAAAAAAUAGUGGAAAAACUAUCUUGACAUUAUUCAAUGAAUAAGCCCCGGCUAAUUAUGUGCCAGCAGCCGCGGUAAUACAUARGGGGCGAGCGUUAUCCGGAAUUAUUGGGCGUAAAGGGUGCGUAGGCGGUUUGAUAAGUCUAUAGUUUAAAUGCAGUGCUUAACGCUGUAGCGCUAUAGAAACUGUCUGACUAGAGUUAGAUAGAGGCAAGCGGAAUUCCAUGUGUAGCGGUAAAAUGCGUAAAUAUAUGGAGGAACACCAGAGGCGUAGGCGGCUUGCUGGGUCUUAACUGACGCUGAGGCACGAAAGCGUGGGGAGCAAACAGGAUUAGAUACCCUGGUAGUCCACGCCGUAAACGAUGAGUACUAAGUGUCGGGUUUCGACUCGGUACUGAAGUUAACACAUUAAGUACUCCGCCUGAGUAGUACGUACGCAAGUAUGAAACUUAAAGGAAUUGACGGGACCCCGCACAAGCGGUGGAUCAUGUUGUUUAAUUCGAAGAUACACGAAAAACCUUACCAGGUCUUGACAUAAUUUUGCGACAUUAUAGAAAUAUAAUGAAGGUUAUCAGAAUUACAGGUGGUGCAUGGUUGUCGUCAGCUCGUGUCGUGAGAUGUUAGGUUAAGUCCUAAA